AUGGAAGUGAUGAUUAUUUUCCCAGAUGAUCGAUGCUGAACAAACUGAGCAUUUUUAUUUCUCUUUUUUCUUUAUUAAAAGAGAAUUUAAGCCAGGAAACUGAUCCAU
Molecule: small nucleolar RNA, 108 nt
Filed under: Ricinus communis (castor bean)
Lineage: Eukaryota; Viridiplantae; Streptophyta; Magnoliopsida; Malpighiales; Euphorbiaceae
Description: Small nucleolar RNA Z103
Rfam family: Small nucleolar RNA Z103
About the family: This family consists of several snoRNA Z103 sequences which are members of the C/D class of snoRNA which contain the C (UGAUGA) and D (CUGA) box motifs. This family seems to be found exclusively in plants. C/D box small nucleolar RNAs are known to act as a methylation guides for 18S ribosomal RNA.
Source: Rfam by way of RNAcentral